GCAUGGCUAGCUCAGUUGGUAGAUUAUCAGACUUUUAAUCUGAGGAUCCAGGGUUCGAGUCCUUGGUCAUGUA
This 73-nucleotide transfer RNA is filed under the name Chrysemys picta bellii (western painted turtle). RNAcentral describes it as "tRNA-Lys (TTT) (tRNA-Lys-TTT-28-1)". It matches the Rfam family "tRNA". Rfam says of the family: Transfer RNA (tRNA) molecules are approximately 80 nucleotides in length. Their secondary structure includes four short double-helical elements and three loops (D, anti-codon, and T loops). Further hydrogen bonds mediate the characteristic L-shaped molecular structure. tRNAs have two regions of fundamental functional importance: the anti-codon, which is responsible for specific mRNA codon recognition, and the 3' end, to which the tRNAs corresponding amino acid is attached (by aminoacyl-tRNA synthetases). tRNAs cope with the degeneracy of the genetic code in two manners: having more than one tRNA (with a specific anti-codon) for a particular amino acid; and 'wobble' base-pairing, i.e. permitting non-standard base-pairing at the 3rd anti-codon position. Lineage: Eukaryota; Metazoa; Chordata; Testudines; Emydidae. The record is from Rfam by way of RNAcentral.